This 88-nucleotide ribosomal RNA is filed under the name Haemophilus influenzae. The record is from RNAcentral. Lineage: Bacteria; Pseudomonadati; Pseudomonadota; Gammaproteobacteria; Pasteurellales; Pasteurellaceae.
CCUGGCGGCGAUAGUGCGGUGGAACCACCUGAGACCAUACCGAACUCAGAAGUGAAACGCUGUAAUGCCGAUGGUAGUGUGGGGUUUC